This 314-nucleotide ribosomal RNA is filed under the name uncultured bacterium. Its description in RNAcentral is "partial 16S ribosomal RNA". It matches the Rfam family "Bacterial small subunit ribosomal RNA", at positions 499 to 807 of the family's 1533-position model. The record is from RNAcentral.
UUAUAAGAGACAGCAGCAGCCGCGGUAAUACGUAGGGUGCAAGCGUUAUUCGGAAUUACUGGGCGUAAAGCGUGCGCAGGCGGUUUGUUAAGACAAAUGUGAAAUCCCCGGGCUCAACCUGGGAACUGCAUUUGUGACUGGCAAGCUAGAGUCUGGCAGAGGGGGGUGGAAUUCCGCGUGUAGCAGUGAAAUGCGUAGAUAUGCGGAGGAACACCGAUGGCGAAGGCAGCCCCCUGGGCCAACACUGACGCUCAUGCACGAAAGCGUGGGGAGCAAACAGGAUUAGAUACCCGUGUAGUCCCUGUCUCUUAUAC